RNAcentral lists this ribosomal RNA (253 nucleotides) under uncultured bacterium. RNAcentral describes it as "partial 16S ribosomal RNA". It matches the Rfam family "Bacterial small subunit ribosomal RNA", at positions 524 to 776 of the family's 1533-position model. The record is from RNAcentral.
UACAGAGGUCUCAAGCGUUGUCCGGAUUGACUGGGCGUAAAGCGCACGCAGGCGGGGGUGCGCGUGGGGUGUGAAAUCUGGCCGCUUAACGGCCAGGCGCCAUCCCAUACGGCACGCCUGGAGCCUUGCAGAGGUCGGUGGAAUUGCCGGUGUAGUGGUGAAAUGCGUAGAGAUCGGCAGGAACACCCAGGGGGAAGCCAGCCGACUGGGCAAGUGCUGACGCUGAGGUGCGAGAGCGUGGGGAGCGAACCGG